Molecule: long non-coding RNA, 343 nt
Filed under: Setaria viridis
Lineage: Eukaryota; Viridiplantae; Streptophyta; Magnoliopsida; Poales; Poaceae
Description: long non-coding RNA (SVIR_LNC008767)
Source: RNAcentral
AGAACGUCCCUGCAGGAGGAAUGCUCGUGAACGACGUCGCGCUGCAUGUAACUAAGCCCUGCUUCACCAAAACUCUGAAAAAUAUAGUAGUCUUUGCCUUAUCUAACCUGCUCCCGUCCCCCAACCCCGCAGCUCACGAACCCGUACCUCCCCUUCGGCGGCGUCGGCGACAGCGGGACGGGCUGCUACCACGGCAAGUUCAGCUUCGACUGCUUCAGCCACAAGAAGGCGGUCCUGAUCCGCAGCUUCGGCGGCGAGGCGGCGGCGAGGUACCCGCCCUACACGCCGGAGAAGCAGAAGAUCCUGAGGGGCCUGAUCAACGGCAGCUUCAUCGCCCUCAUCC